GCCGGGUGUGGUGGCGCACACCUGUAAUCCCAGCUACAUGGGAGGCUGAGGCAGGAGAAUCGCUUGAACCCAGGAGUCGGAGGUUGCCGUGAGCCAAGAUCUUGACACUGCCACUCCAGCCUGGGCAACAGAGCAAGACUCCAUCUCAA
Unclassified non-coding RNA from Macaca fascicularis (crab-eating macaque), 149 nucleotides. It matches the Rfam family "Metazoan signal recognition particle RNA". From Rfam's summary of the family: The signal recognition particle (SRP) is a universally conserved ribonucleoprotein. It is involved in the co-translational targeting of proteins to membranes. NCBI's taxonomy places the organism in Eukaryota, Metazoa, Chordata, Mammalia, Primates, Cercopithecidae. The record is from Ensembl.